ACGAACGCUGGCGGCGUGCCUAAUACAUGCAAGUUGAGCGCUGAAGGUUGGUACUUGUACCAACUGGAUGAGCAGCGAACGGGUGAGUAACGCGUGGGGAAUCUGCCUUUGAGCGGGGGACAACAUUUGGAAACGAAUGCUAAUACCGCAUAAAAACUUUAAACACAAGUUUUAAGUUUGAAAGAUGCAAUUGCAUCACUCAAAGAUGAUCCCGCGUUGUAUUAGCUAGUUGGUGAGGUAAAGGCUCACCAAGGCGAUGAUACAUAGCCGACCUGAGAGGGUGAUCGGCCACAUUGGGACUGAGACAUGGCCCAAACUCCUACGGGAGGCAGCAGUAGGGAAUCUUCGGCAAUGGACGAAAGUCUGACCGAGCAACGCCGCGUGAGUGAAGAAGGUUUUCGGAUCGUAAAACUCUGUUGGUAGAGAAGAACGUUGGUGAGAGUGGAAAGCUCAUCAAGUGACGGUAACUACCCAGAAAGGGACGGCUAACUACGUG
RNAcentral lists this ribosomal RNA (496 nucleotides) under uncultured bacterium. Its description in RNAcentral is "partial 16S ribosomal RNA". It matches the Rfam family "Bacterial small subunit ribosomal RNA", at positions 29 to 507 of the family's 1533-position model. The record is from RNAcentral.